CGAUUGAUCAGAUACCGUCGUAGUCUUAACCAUAAACUAUGCCGACCAGGGAUAUGAGUUGUUAUGAAUAUAGAAAUAUAUUCAAUUUCUUCUUAUGAACCUUGUGAGAAAUCAUAAGUUUUUGGGUUCUGGGGGGAGUAUGGUCGCAAGGCUGAAACUUAAAGGAAUUGACGGAGGGGCACCACCAGGAGUGGAGCGUGCGGCUUAAUUUGACUCAACACGGGAAAACUUACCAGGUCCAGACAUUAGAAGGAUUGACAGAUUGAUAGCUCUUUCAUGAUUUAAUGGGUGGUGGUGCAUGGCCGUUCUUAGUUGGUGGAGUGAUUUGUCUGGUUAAUUCCGAUAACGAACGAGACCUUUACCAUACUAAAUAGUUUGAUUUAUGAUUUUUCAUAGAUUUUUAUUUAAACUUCUUAGAGGGACUAUUGGUUUCUAAACCAAAGGAAGUAAAGGCGAUAACAGGUCUGUGAUGCCCUUAGAUGUUCUGGGCUGCACGCGCGCUACAAUGAUAAACUCAACGAGUAUAUAUUUUAUUUUAUUGCUUUACCGGAAGGUAUGGCUAAUCUUAAACGUUUAUCGUGCUUGGGAUAGAUGAUUGCAAUUAUUUAUCUUGAACCAGGAAUUCCUAGUAAUCGUAUAUCAUCAGUGUGCGAUGAUUACGUCCCUGCCCCUUGUACACACCGCCCGUCGCUGCUACCGAUUGGAUGAUCCGGUGAAAUCCUCGGAUAAUGAUAAAUACUUUACUUUGUAAAGUUUAUUGUUAGAAGUUGAUUAAACCUUAUCAUCUAGAGGAAGCAAAAGUCGUAACAAGGUUUCCGUAGGUGAACCUGCAGAAGGAUGA
RNAcentral lists this ribosomal RNA (841 nucleotides) under Vannella sp. RNAcentral describes it as "bacterial SSU rRNA". It matches the Rfam family "Eukaryotic small subunit ribosomal RNA", at positions 1002 to 1831 of the family's 1831-position model. The record is from RNAcentral. Lineage: Eukaryota; Discosea; Flabellinia; Vannellidae.